RNAcentral lists this ribosomal RNA (161 nucleotides) under Senna polyphylla. RNAcentral describes it as "5.8S ribosomal RNA". It matches the Rfam family "5.8S ribosomal RNA". Rfam says of the family: 5.8S ribosomal RNA (5.8S rRNA) is a component of the large subunit of the eukaryotic ribosome. The record is from RNAcentral. Lineage: Eukaryota; Viridiplantae; Streptophyta; Magnoliopsida; Fabales; Fabaceae.
ACGACUCUCGGCAACGGAUAUCUCGGCUCUCGCAUCGAUGAAGAACGUAGCGAAAUGCGAUACUUGGUGUGAAUUGCACAAUCCCGUGAACCAUCCAGUCUUUGAACGCUAGUUGCGCCCGAAAGCCGUUAGGCCGAGGGCACGUCUGCCUGGGUGACAAA